This 465-nucleotide ribosomal RNA is filed under the name uncultured bacterium. RNAcentral describes it as "partial 16S ribosomal RNA". It matches the Rfam family "Bacterial small subunit ribosomal RNA", at positions 28 to 507 of the family's 1533-position model. The record is from RNAcentral.
GACGAACGCUGGCGGCGUGCUUAACACAUGCAAGUCGUACGGUAAGGCCCUUUCGGGGGUCCUCGAGUGGCGAACGGGUGAGUAACACGUGAGUAACCUGCCCACAACUUUGGGAUAACGCUAGGAAACUGGUGCUAAUACUGGAUAUGUGCUCCUGCUGCAUGGUGGGGGUUGGAAAGCUCCGGCGGUUGUGGAUGGACUCGCGGCCUAUCAGCUUGGUGGUGGGGUAGUGGCCUACCAAGGCGGCGACGGGUAGCCGGCCUGAGAGGGUGACCGGCCACAUUGGGACUGAGAGACGGCCCAGACACCUACGGGAGGCAGCAGUGGGGAAUAUUGCACAAUGGGCGCAAGCCUGAUGCAGCAACGCCGCGUGCGGGAUGACGGCCUUCGGGUUGAAAACCGCUUUCAGCAGGGACGAAGCUUUUUGUGACGGUACCUGCAGAAGAAGCACCGGCUAACUACGUG